AUUGAACGAUGGCGGCAUGCUUUACACAUGCAAGUCGAACGGUAACAGGCCUUCGGGUGCUGACGAGUGGCGAACGGGUGAGUAAUGCAUCGGAACGUACCCAGAGGUGGGGGAUAACGCAGCGAAAGCUGUGCUAAUACCGCAUGUGAUCUGAGGAUGAAAGCGGGGGACCGAGCAGCAAUGUUUGGCCUCGCGCCUUUGGAGCGGCCGAUGUCGGAUUAGCUAGUUGGUGGGGUAAAGGCCUACCAAGGCGACGAUCCGUAGCUGGUCUGAGAGGACGACCAGCCACACUGGGACUGAGACACGGCCCAGACUCCUACGGGAGGCAGCAGUGGGGAAUUUUGGACAAUGGGCGCAAGCCUGAUCCAGCAAUGCCGCGUGCGGGAAGAAGGCCUUCGGGUUGUAAACCGCUUUUGGCAGGAACGAAACGGUGUCCGCUAAUACCGGGCGCUAAUGACGGUACCUGCAGAAUAAGCACCGGCUAACUACGUG
RNAcentral lists this ribosomal RNA (492 nucleotides) under uncultured bacterium. RNAcentral's name for it is "partial 16S ribosomal RNA". It matches the Rfam family "Bacterial small subunit ribosomal RNA", at positions 29 to 507 of the family's 1533-position model. The record is from RNAcentral.